AGACCCGAAACCCGGUGAUCUAGCCAUGGGCAGGUUGAAGGUUGGGUAACACUAACUGGAGGACCGAACCGACUAAUGUUGAAAAAUUAGCGGAUGACCUGUGGCUGGGGGUGAAAGGCCAAUCAAACCGGGAGAUAGCUGGUUCUCCCCGAAAGCUAUUUAGGUAGCGCCUCGUGAAUUCAUCUCCGGGGGUAGAGCACUGUUUCGGCUAGGGGGCCAUCCCGGCUUACCAACCCGAUGCAAACUGCGAAUACCGGAGAAUGUUAUCACGGGAGACACACGGCGGGUGCUAACGUCCGUCGUGAAGAGGGAAACAACCCAGACCGCCAGCUAAGGUCCCAAAGUCAUGGUUAAGUGGGAAACGAUGUGGGAAGGCCCAGACAGCCAGGAUGUUGGCUUAGAAGCAGCCAUCAUUUAAAGAAAGCGUAAUAGCUCACUGGUCGAGUCGGCCUGCGCGGAAGAUGUAACGGGGCUAAACCAUGCACCGAAGCUGCGGCAGCGAACGUAUCACCCAAGACAACUUUACGGAGUUGACGAUUGACGGAGCGAAGCGACGUCAAAGCGUUCAUUAAAGUCGAGUUGGCUUAGGGAUACGUUCGUUGGGUAGGGGAGCGUUCUGUAAGCCUGCGAAGGUGGCCUGUGAGGGUUGCUGGAGGUAUCAGAAGUGCGAAUGCUGACAUAAGUAACGAUAAAGCGGGUGAAAAGCC
Molecule: ribosomal RNA, 707 nt
Filed under: Salmonella enterica subsp. enterica serovar Weltevreden
Lineage: Bacteria; Pseudomonadati; Pseudomonadota; Gammaproteobacteria; Enterobacterales; Enterobacteriaceae
Description: partial 23S ribosomal RNA
Rfam family: Bacterial large subunit ribosomal RNA
Source: RNAcentral